GGACGAACGCUGGCGGCGUGCUUAACACAUGCAAGUCGAACGGAAAGGCCCUGCUUUUGUGGGGUGCUCGAGUGGCGAACGGGUGAGUAACACGUGAGUAACCUGCCCUUGACUUUGGGAUAACUUCAGGAAACUGGGGCUAAUACCGGAUAGGAGCUCCUGCUGCAUGGUGGGGGUUGGAAAGUUUCGGCGGUUGGGGAUGGACUCGCGGCUUAUCAGCUUGUUGGUGGGGUAGUGGCUUACCAAGGCUUUGACGGGUAGCCGGCCUGAGAGGGUGACCGGCGACAUUGGGACUGAGAUACGGCCCAGACUCCUACGGGAGGCAGCAGUGGGGAAUAUUGCACAAUGGGCGGAAGCCUGAUGCAGCAACGCCGCGUGCGGGAUGACGGCCUUCGGGUUGUAAACCGCUUUCGCCUGUGACGAAGCGUGAGUGACGGUAAUGGGUAAAGAAGCACCGGCUAACUACGUG
Molecule: ribosomal RNA, 469 nt
Filed under: uncultured bacterium
Lineage: Bacteria
Description: partial 16S ribosomal RNA
Rfam family: Bacterial small subunit ribosomal RNA
Source: RNAcentral